Transfer RNA from Conidiobolus coronatus NRRL 28638, 73 nucleotides. It matches the Rfam family "tRNA". From Rfam's summary of the family: Transfer RNA (tRNA) molecules are approximately 80 nucleotides in length. Their secondary structure includes four short double-helical elements and three loops (D, anti-codon, and T loops). The record is from Rfam. Lineage: Eukaryota; Fungi; Entomophthoromycota; Entomophthoromycetes; Entomophthorales; Conidiobolaceae.
GGCUCCUUAGUUUAUAUGGUUAGAAUAGAACACUUUCAUUGUUCAGAAGCCUGUUCAACUCAGGCAGGAGUCA